GGGACUGUAAGUAGGUAAACAAACUCUGCCUUUCUGCAACUGCACCAGCAGUACAGGAGGUAUUUUUCUUUCAGCGCUGAACUUUCUUUGUUCCUGAAUACAGACUUCACUCGCCGGACGAGCAACUUUGUUUUCUUCUUUUUUCUACCUCCUAUUAUUUUUUCUUUGUGUUACCAACACAAUUUUGAAUUUAAAGAAACUGUUACAGAAGAUAACGUUUCCUUCCUGCAGAAGAAGACGGAUAAAACUCCGUGCUUAACUGAGAAGAUCACGUCUGUGCUCUACCUUCUCAACUUAGUCGAACCUCACUGAUUCCUGUUGCUGCCCCCAAAGAAUCAUCUGUGCUGUGGAACCUACCGGCAUCUUCAGAUCUGAGCCGAGAGCAACUCUAACGGACUUCCCAAAAGGACUGACGCAACUACUCUCUAUCAAAGCAACACAUAUAUUCCAGUGGGUCUGUUAGAGGGAGGGCCUCAGAAGAUCAAUGAAAGACCUCCGUACUACAUGGGCAGAAACUACCUGGAGUCACUGAUGGCCAGUUAAAACGUUGGGGACUGGGUCAGGUUUAGGUGAGCAGAAAACUGUCUUAAUCUGCAAGACGUAUCAUUCAAAAUCAAGCAACACUAAAAUGUAUUGUUAAAGUGAUAUAUAUUUACUUAUUACAAACUCUCACUUGGACCUGUACCAAAGUAUUUCAACUUUUUGCCCAAAUAUAUGGCCAACGCCUACAAGGGAAUUUCUACUUCACUACUAAAAAACACCCAGGUUUUUCUUUUGGCUCUAGAGAAUAAGAUUACAAGAAAGGACAUUAAUGUUUUAAAUGAUAAAGACUUUUGAAUAGUCUGCUUAUUUGACUUGUGGUGCAGUAGUAGACUAUAUGGGUGUUUGUGUUCUUGUACUGAAAUAUUUGCAAUAAACUCUUUUGCCACCCCCGA
Long non-coding RNA from Micropterus salmoides (largemouth bass), 935 nucleotides. RefSeq lists it as uncharacterized. The transcript is spliced from 2 exons. Lineage: Eukaryota; Metazoa; Chordata; Actinopteri; Centrarchiformes; Centrarchidae. The record is from RefSeq and is a predicted model, not a curated record.